This is a long non-coding RNA of Sphaerodactylus townsendi, 380 nucleotides long. RefSeq lists it as uncharacterized. The record is from RefSeq and is a predicted model, not a curated record. NCBI's taxonomy places the organism in Eukaryota, Metazoa, Chordata, Lepidosauria, Squamata, Sphaerodactylidae. The transcript is spliced from 5 exons.
AGCUUACCACGCACAACUCUUCGUUGCCCAGUGCCUGGAAUUUACAAAAUUAAACCUGUAGUCACAAGCCAGGCAUACGAAGACAAUGAACGUUACUUAUCUAUAAUUGCUGAUAUCAAUUGUUUCCUGUGGUAUAUGUAUCUUUACCAGGAAGCAGAAGACAGCUUUGAUCAGAAAGGCCUCUCAAAUCAACAGGAUAUAAUUGCAUGGAUAAUUGAUCCAGAAAAUUCAGACAGUUCUGAACUGAAUUAUACUGCAACUUCACCAUCAGCAUAUUCUCAGGUACUUAGCAAGCAGUUUUGGAAUUUGGGACAGAGACCUGUUAUUCGGACGUCUUUUCAGAGGAUCGAAUAUGCAGCAACUGCUUUUCCAGAACAGGG